RNAcentral lists this ribosomal RNA (809 nucleotides) under uncultured Pelagibacteraceae bacterium. RNAcentral's name for it is "bacterial SSU rRNA". It matches the Rfam family "Bacterial small subunit ribosomal RNA", at positions 34 to 891 of the family's 1533-position model. Lineage: Bacteria; Pseudomonadati; Pseudomonadota; Alphaproteobacteria; Candidatus Pelagibacterales; Candidatus Pelagibacteraceae. The record is from RNAcentral.
CGCUGGCGGCACGCCUAACACAUGCAAGUCGAACGAAGUAGCAAUACUUAGUGGCAGACGGGUGAGUAACAUGUAGGUAUCUACCCUUUGGCCUGGAAUAACACGAGGAAACUUGUGCUAAUACCGGAUAAGUCUUUACAGAGAAAGCUUUAUGCACCAUUGGAUGAGCCUGCACUUGAUUAGUUUGUUGGUGGGGUAAUGGCCUACCAAGACUUUGAUCAAUAGCUGAUUUGAGAGGAUGAUCAGCCACAUUGGGACUGAGACACGGCCCAAACUCCUACGGGAGGCAGCAGUGGGGAAUCUUGCACAAUGGAGGAAACUCUGAUGCAGCGAUGCCGCGUGAGUGAAGAAGGCCUUUGGGUUGUAAAGCUCUUUCGUCGGGGAAGAAAAUGACUGUACCCGAAUAAGAAGGUCCGGCUAACUUCGUGCCAGCAGCCGCGGUAAUACGAAGGGACCUAGCGUAGUUCGGAAUUACUGGGCUUAAAGAGUUCGUAGGUGGUUGAAAAAGUUGGUGGUGAAAGCCCAGAGCUUAACUCUGGAACUGCCAUCAAAACUUUUCAGCUAGAGUUUGAUAGAGGAAAGCAGAAUUUCUAGUGUAGAGGUGAAAUUCGUAGAUAUUAGAAAGAAUACCAAUUGCGAAGGCAGCUUUCUGGAUCAUUACUGACGCUGAGGAACGAAAGCAUGGGUAGCGAAGAGGAUUAGAUACCCUCGUAGUCCAUGCCGUAAACGAUGUGUGUUAGACGUUGGGAAUUUAUUUUCAGUGUCGCAGUGAAAACGAUAAACACACCGCCUGGGGAGUACGACCGCAA